Molecule: long non-coding RNA, 150 nt
Organism: Camelus dromedarius (Arabian camel)
Lineage: Eukaryota; Metazoa; Chordata; Mammalia; Artiodactyla; Camelidae
Exons: 3
Source: RefSeq, a predicted model, not a curated record
CACAUGCCAAGUGAAAUAAAGACACACAGAGGACUGGAGUGAGCUCAGGGAAAAAGAGGAGCCUGGGCGGACUCAGGCAGAUACCGUGGGGCAAGUACUGCUGCUGAGGACCUGCCCACUCAGAUCUGAAAGGCUCAUAAAUAACAAGUC